AUCCGCCGCCAGCCGAGCCAGCCCGCCCGGCCGCCCGGAGCCACCGCCGGACCGCCCUGACGCCCGCUGCCUGCCUGCCUGCCCUCCCACCGCCCGGCGGCUGCUGCCCGCGCAGGCGCGUACCACUGCGCAGCAGUACGCGGAGCCUCCCUCCCUGUUAACCGAACUGCCGGAGCCGCCCAAUCCGCUCAGGUGUGGUGCCCGUCUCCUUCCUAUAGAGAUCUGAAUUUGUCCAGGCCCGGCAGCUCCUCUAGCCUUCGCCCUCCUUGGGAUUCACCAGAGUCUGGAAACUGGAGGCGUGCAGCAGCCCCGAUCUCAAUUUAUCCAGAGACUGAAGUCAGGCCGAAUAGAUUAUUUGGGGCCAAUGGAAGAGGAAGGCUAUAGCACCGAAUCAUCCAAUGAAGGAGACGUGCAAGAAGACGGUGACAAGGAGAAAAGCCUUGCUGAGGGCGAUGUCUUUAAGCCGGUUGAUAUGGAUCCAGAAUGGAUACCUAAAGUGGGGAUGGUAUUCGACUCAGAGGAAGACGCCUUUCAGUUCUAUGUCGCAUAUGGAUGCCACUCUGGUUUUGGUAUCACAAGGAGGUCUAACAACACCUUUGAUGGUUUCCGCUAUCGCUCUACCUUCAUAUGCUCUAAAGGAGGGCAAUCUAGGCUGAGAUCUGGUGUGACAAGGCCUGCAAGAAAGCGGGGCACAAAGACUGGCUGCAAGGCUAAGAUCAUUGUCAAGGACGCCCAUUUUCAGAAUCGCUGGGAAGUUAUUGUUCUCGAGUUGGAGCAUAACCAUCCACUGGAUCCUGGUUCGGUUAAAUAUAAGAAGCAUCUAGAGAACAUCCCUUUCUCUCUAAAUCCACCUCGUUUGUCUGAGGCGCCACAGAGUAGCUCAGUUGUUGGACAUUCUAGUAGUUUUGGAGAUAGUGGCAUACCUUCAUCUGCCCAGAUUGAAAUCAAGACCAAGAUAGACAGAAAUAGGAAACUGAAGCUUGCUGAAGGAGAUUUAGAGGCAUUAGUGAGUUUUUUCAACGACAUGCAAGACCGAAACCCGUGUUUCUUUCACAGUUUAGACAUGAAUGAGCAAGGACAGCUAAGGAAUGUCUUCUGGGCUGAUGCCAAAUCACGUAGUUCUUACAAUUACUUUGGUGAUGUGGUUGCUAUUAAUGUCACAAACUUCAGCGAUCAGUAUGAUAUACAGUUUGUGUCAUUUGUGGGCACUAACCACCACGCUCAACCACUGUUACUAGGGUGUGGUUUGCUUGCUGGUAGAUCUCUUGGAGCUUACGUGUGGCUUUUUGAUACAUGGUUAAGAUGCAUGAAUGCCACGUCACCACCUUCAAUAAUUACCAACUAUUGUCAUGAUGUUGCAAUAGCUGUUAAAAAGGUUUUCCCCAAUUCACGGCACCGCUUUUGCCUUCGGCACAUUUUAAAUGAGCUUCCUGAGAAGUUGGCCGGAAUGGAAAAGAAGGAUGAAGUGAUUUCUACUUUCAGCACAUUGGCCUAUGACUCAGUUACUACUCUUGAUUUUGACAAAGAGUGGCAAGAAAUGACGCAUCAAUUUCAGUUGGAGGGAAAUGAAUGGCUGUCCAAAUUAUACGAGGUCAGGGCACAGUGGGCUCCUGCUUAUGUGAAGGAUUUUUUUUGGGCGGGAAUGUCCGUCACAGACAGAACUGACAGUGCAACUGACUAUUUUGAUGGGUGGUUGACGUCUGAUACAUCUGUGAAAAUGUUUGUUGAGCAGUAUGAGGCAGCUGUUAGAACUAAGUUAGAAAAGGAAACCUAUGAGGAUUUGCACUCGUCUCAGAUGAGGCCACAGUUGAUGACUGGAUUGCCUGUGGAGGAGCAAGCAGCAAAGAUGUACACAAUGGAGAUAUUUCAAACUUUCUUGAAUGAAUUAGGGCGUUCAUUUCACUGCAAUUAUAGUAUACUUGAUCGGAGUGAUUCAGUAGUUACAUACAUAGUAUCAGAGCAUGUAAAUCAAACAAAGGUGGACUACAAAGUUGCUUAUGACAAUGCUGAAGAUGACAUAUGGUGCUUCUGCCGCUUGUUUCAAUUUAAAGGUAUAUUGUGCAGACAUGCUCUCACUGUACUGAGGCAGGAGCUUGUACCGAUGAUUCCAUCAAAAUACAUCAUUCAUCGCUGGUGCAAGGAUUGUAAACUAACUUGUUCUUCCAUGUCCCGGGACGUCUCAUUAAGUAGUCAGGAAUUGGGAGGUUAUGAUGAUCUCUACAAACUAGGCCACCAAUACUUUGCAGAAGUUGUGGAACUGGGUUCUGUGAACUCAGAAUCAAAAGAUUAUGCUUUGUCAGUCAUGAGGGAGAUCAGGGAUAAAGUGAUUUCUUAUGAGAAGUCACUGAGAGAUCAAAGGGUUGACAGCCAAGUUUCAACUGCCAACUUUGCAUAUAAUCCAGUGAAUGAGGAUUUUACUGAUGAUGCAUUACCCAUUUCUCUUAGUACGAAGGGCUGGGAUCUCAUGCAAGGUCAGUCAAAACGUUCUCGCAAGAAGAAACUGACGACACCAACAGUUCUUGAUACCCUGAAGAAGAAAACUAAAAGGGCCUAUAACAAGAGGAGGAAUGCCACUGCGAACAACCUAUGCACAACGGUCACCGCAACUGACAGCAUAACAGAAAGCGCAAAUGUUCAGGAAGAUCAAGUAAAUGAGGGAUGGCCAUUAACAUCUAGUGGUGCACCAGAUACCUUCCCAUACGGAGUGGAGACCAUAUCUUUCGAUUUGACACAAUACAACAAUGCGCCAAGCUUCCAUUGGCCUGAAAGCAGCAGCAGAUCUCAGCUUCAGUGAAAGGAGGCAACACUUAGUUAUGCGUUCAUUCGAGUAGCCUGUGUUCUAACAUGAUCACAUGACGGGCAGAGUAAGUAUUGAUAGUUCAGGUCCGACCUUGUUUGCUCUGCCACUAGGAAGUUGGUGGCCGCCCGAACAACGGUGAAAAAAUUCUCAAACAUGGCAGAAACCAGUAAAACUACCACCGACUUCUAACCAACUUGGUCUAAAUUGGUUUGGCUAAUAUGGGAUGCCCCUGAUUGUCACCUCCAUGUGAUGGCCCAGCUCCGUCAUCAUAAUUAUCGCCUGAUCGGUGUGGAACUGCCUAUGAAGCUUCGCAUCCACUAUACUCGCAGCAUCCCCGCUGGAAAUCCUCCUCCCAGCCACCAGUUCUAGGAGCACCACUCCGAAGCUAUAGACGUCGACCUUGGCAUUGAUUGGCAGAUUCAUCGCCCAUUCCGGGGCCAUAUAACCGGCUGUUCCUCGCAUAUGUGAGAAGUUGAAACUGGAUCCAUCUCUUUUAUACAGCUUUGCUAACCCAAAGUCUGCUAUCUUGGCUUCAAAAUC
This is an RNA transcript of Triticum dicoccoides, 3340 nucleotides long. It is a transcript of the gene named protein FAR1-RELATED SEQUENCE 6-like, with no coding region annotated. The transcript has 7 exons. NCBI's taxonomy places the organism in Eukaryota, Viridiplantae, Streptophyta, Magnoliopsida, Poales, Poaceae. The record is from RefSeq and is a predicted model, not a curated record.